GCCUGGGUGGCUCAGUUGGUUGAGCAUCUGACUUUGUUUUGGGUCAUGGUCUUGCAGUCUGUGAGUUCGAGCCCCACUUCGGGCU
RNAcentral lists this transfer RNA (85 nucleotides) under Felis catus (domestic cat). It matches the Rfam family "tRNA". From Rfam's summary of the family: Transfer RNA (tRNA) molecules are approximately 80 nucleotides in length. Their secondary structure includes four short double-helical elements and three loops (D, anti-codon, and T loops). Lineage: Eukaryota; Metazoa; Chordata; Mammalia; Carnivora; Felidae. The record is from Rfam by way of RNAcentral.